Non-coding RNA from Monodelphis domestica (gray short-tailed opossum), 482 nucleotides. The record is from RefSeq and is a predicted model, not a curated record. Lineage: Eukaryota; Metazoa; Chordata; Mammalia; Didelphimorphia; Didelphidae.
UCACAAUCAGGGGAGAGUUCAUGUCAUCUCCACCGCCCAAGUCAGAUGGUUUCUCUGCUCACCCAGCCAGCCAAUGGCGUGGAACAGCCCUAGUGACGUCACGGAUCCCAGGCAGGCUCCUCGGUGAUGGGCUUUGCCUGGUCCCCUGCCUGGUAGACCCUGCUGCGCAGCCACACUUGUUACAAGCUACCCCCCCCCCCCAUCCUUCCCCUUCCGGUCUCCAUCUUAGACCGGGAGGCAAUAGGCGGGAAAGGUCGAGGCAGGCUCGGUGAAGGAGGUCUGGAGUCGGGCUGGUUGUCAUGGAAGGAGGAGGCAGCGUGUGGUGGCACUGCCAGGGAUUUAAGGCUGCUGAGGUGUCACGAGGCAUCAUUGUGGACCUCCCCUGCUGGGCAGUGAGCUUGGGGUUACUGAAGCUGGGCUCACCCAGCUGGUCGGUGUGAGGUUCCUGGUUUUUGUUCUUAAUCCUGGAGCAUGAAUUCACA